GCUAGCUACAGGCUUAACACAUGCAAGUCGAGGGGCAGCAUGGUCUUAGCUUGCUAAGGCCGAUGGCGACCGGCGCACGGGUGAGUAACACGUAUCCAACCUGCCGUCUAUUCUUGGACAGCCUUCUGAAAGGAAGAUUAAUACAAGAUGGCAUCAUGAGUCCACAUGUUCACAUGAUUAAAGGUAUUCCGGUAGACGAUGGGGAUGCGUUCCAUUAGAUAGUAUGCGGGGUAACGGCCCACCUAGUCUUCGAUGGAUAGGGGUUCUGAGAGGAAGGUCCCCCACUUUGGAACUGAGACACGGUCCAAACUCCUACGGGAGGCAGCAGUGAGGAAUAUUGGUCAAUGGGCGAGAGCCUGAACCAGCCAAGUAGCGUGAAGGAUGACUGCCCUAUGGGUUGUAAACUUCUUUUAUAAAGGAAUAAAGUCGGGUAUGCAUACCCGUUUGCAUGUACUUUAUGAAUAAGGAUCGGCUAACUCCGCGCCAGCAUCCGCGGUAAUACGGAGGAUCCGAGCGUUAUCCUGAUUUAUUGGGUUUAAAGGGAGCGUAGAUGGAUGUUUAAGUCAGUUGUGAAAGUUUGCGGCUCAACCGUAAAAUUGCAGUUGAUACUGGAUAUCUUGAGUGCAGUGAGGGCAGGCGGAAUUCGUGGUGUAGCGGUGAAAUGCUUAGAUAUCACGAAGAACUCCGAUUGCGAAGGCAGCCUGCUAAGCUGCAACUGACAUUGAGGCUCGAAAGUGUGGGUAUCAAACAGGAUUAGAUACCCUGGUAGUCCACACGGUAAACGAUGAAUACUCGCUGUUUGCGAUAUACAGCAAGCGGCCAAGCGAAAGCGUUAAGUAUUCCACCUGGGGAGUACGCCGGCAACGGUGAAACUCAAAGGAAUUGACGGGGGCCCGCACAAGCGGAGGAACAUGUGGUUUAAUUCGAUGAUACGCGAGGAACCUUACCCGGGCUUAAAUUGCAGAUGAAUUACGGUGAAAGCCGUAAGCCGCAAGGCAUCUGUGAAGGUGCUGCAUGGUUGUCGUCAGCUCGUGCCGUGAGGUGUCGGCUUAAGUGCCAUAACGAGCGCAACCCUUGUUGUCAGUUACUAACAGGUUCUGCUGAGGACUCUGACAAGACUGCCAUCGUAAGAUGUGAGGAAGGUGGGGAUGACGUCAAAUCAGCACGGCCCUUACGUCCGGGGCUACACACGUGUUACAAUGGGGGGUACAGAGGGCCGCUAUCACGCGAGUGGAUGCCAAUCCCAAAAACCUCUCUCAGUUCGGACUGGAGUCUGCAACCCGACUCCACGAAGCUGGAUUCGCUAGUAAUCGCGCAUCAGCCACGGCGCGGUGAAUACGUUCCCGGGCCUUGUACACACCGCCCGUCACACCAUGGGAGUUGGGAAUGCCCGAAGCCAGUGGCCUAACCGAAAGGAAGGAGCUGUCGAAGGCAGGCUCGAUAACUGGGGUGA
Molecule: ribosomal RNA, 1453 nt
Filed under: uncultured organism
Description: SSU rRNA
Rfam family: Bacterial small subunit ribosomal RNA
Source: RNAcentral